This is a small nuclear RNA of Neogale vison (American mink), 103 nucleotides long. The record is from Ensembl. NCBI's taxonomy places the organism in Eukaryota, Metazoa, Chordata, Mammalia, Carnivora, Mustelidae.
UUGCUUCGGCAGCAUAUAUGCUAAAAUAGGAAUGACACAGAGAAGAUUAGCAUGGCCCCUGCACGUGGAUGACACGCAAAUUCAUGAAGCUUUCCAUAGUUUU